UCGUGGAGCUUCGGCUCCUUCGAGGGAGAACCCUUGCCUUUUCGAGCACCUGUUUGUUUCCCUCGGCAGGCCCGCCUGCCAAUGGGGACCUAUUAAACUCUUGCAAUAACCUGUACAAAAUCGUCUGAACAGAAAAAUCUAAAUCAA
Molecule: unclassified non-coding RNA, 147 nt
Filed under: soil metagenome
Description: partial internal transcribed spacer 1
Source: RNAcentral